Molecule: long non-coding RNA, 1152 nt
Organism: Mastomys coucha (southern multimammate mouse)
Lineage: Eukaryota; Metazoa; Chordata; Mammalia; Rodentia; Muridae
Exons: 4
Source: RefSeq, a predicted model, not a curated record
CCGAGGUUCUCUCCUCCUAUUGAUGAUCGAAUUUGGAAACCUCUACUAUACACAUGCUGCCAGAACAGCUUCUUAAAAGGUCAGUUAGAAUGUUACUAACUGCGCAAGUGGAGGCCACACCUGGGAAACAGCCUCAAUGGCGAACACAGCCUCGGUAGUAAUGCAUGCUAAAACAGUCUGAGGGGUGCCCACCGCCUGUGCAGUGGGAGCUGGGAAGGCAGUGUUCCACGAGGGUAUUUUCUCGUCCACAGCUCUGCAGUAAUGUGAAUCCGAUCAUCCAGCUUGCUGAGAUAUUAGGUGCUGUUUUGGCCCAUUUCGCUCUCUAAUGACAGCUAUGGGGCAUUUUGAUGGAGAACUUGCCACACGUGUCAGAUUUCAGACCUACAGUAUUUAAAUAGGUAAAUCCAUCUUCAGUUUGGAAGUUUUACCAAUACAACCUGAAGGCUGCCCUUGGCUAGAAGUUGGAGCUUCUGUAUUCCUGUACCACCCAAUACUUUGGAAGGGCAUGUGAUAUCGAGAAGUCACCUGCCAACAGCACUCUUCCCAUCCUCUGGCUCUGGGUCUUACAUUCUUUACACUCCAGCUUCCAUGAUGUUCCAAUGCUUGCAAGUUUCACUUACAUUGGUCCUAUGCCACCAACAAUGCCUCAUUUGGAUGUUUAAUAUGAAGAAUGCCCAUAGAAGCUCUUUUACCAGCACUUUGGCAAUGGUUCCUUCACUCCUACUCAAUAGAUGGCAUGUACUCUGCUGUGUACUGUGGCUGCCCUUGCAGUUUCAAUUGUCUGCUCCUGUCCAGAGAACAUGCUUCCUUCCAGGCAGUAUAUGAGGCAGUACCUUGUGCUGUUUGUGUUUAACAGUGUUUGUUAGGAUCAUUAUCAACAUAGUAAUGUUAUUAAUAGCAUUGUCAGAAACAACAGUAAUCACAAAGAUAACAGCCUGAACAACAGUGGCAUUUACAGUAUGACAUUAUAUUAAUUAUCACAAUGGAUAUGACAGGCUGUGCCUAGGAAUUCACACUAGUGGGUAGUUUAUGAUUUUAAACUCAAAAGGAAAACUAGAGGAUACAUAGUCCCAAAAUCCUUACCUCCAUGCCCCUCCCUCUUUUUCUGACAAAGGGAAACAAGAAAACAACUAAAAAGAAAAACAACAAAAC